UCCCUGCCAGUCUAGUGGUUAGAAUCCAGCACUUUCAAUGCUGGGGCCUGGGUUCAAUCUCCGGUCAGGGAA
Molecule: non-coding RNA, 72 nt
Organism: Bos taurus (domestic cattle)
Lineage: Eukaryota; Metazoa; Chordata; Mammalia; Artiodactyla; Bovidae
Source: Rfam